CUGGCGGCAUGCCUUACACAUGCAAGUCGAACGGCAGCACGGGAGCUUGCUCCUGGUGGCGAGUGGCGAACGGGUGAGUAAAGUAUCGGAACAUGCCCUGAAGUGGGGAUAACGUAGCGAAAGUUACGCUAAUACCGCAUAUUCUGUGAGCAGGAAAGCAGGGGAUCGCAAGACCUUGCGCUGAUUGAGCGGCCGAUAUCAGAUUAGCUAGUUGGUGAGGUAAAGGCUCACCAAGGCGACGAUCUGUAGCGGGUCUGAGAGGAUGAUCCGCCACACUGGAACUGAGACACGGUCCAGACUCCUACGGGAGGCAGCAGUGGGGAAUUUUGGACAAUGGGCGCAAGCCUGAUCCAGCCAUGCCGCGUGAGUGAAGAAGGCCUUCGGGUUGUAAAGCUCUUUCGGCCGGGAAGAAAUCGCACAGGUUAAUACCCUGUGUGGAUGACGGUACCGGAAUAAGAAGCACCGGCUAACUACGUG
Molecule: ribosomal RNA, 477 nt
Filed under: uncultured bacterium
Lineage: Bacteria
Description: bacterial SSU rRNA
Rfam family: Bacterial small subunit ribosomal RNA
Source: RNAcentral